GAUGAACGCUGGCGGCGUGCCUAAUACAUGCAAGUCGAGCGAACGGACGAGAAGCUUGCUUUUCUGAUGUUAGCGGCGGACGGGUGAGUAACACGUGGAUAACCUACCUAUAAGACUGGGAUAACUUCGGGAAACCGGAGCUAAUACCGGAUAAUAUUUUGAACCGCAUGGUUCAAAAGUGAAAGACGGUCUUGCUGUCACUUAUAGAUGGAUCCGCGCUGCAUUAGCUAGUUGGUAAGGUAACGGCUUACCAAGGCAACGAUGCAUAGCCGACCUGAGAGGGUGAUCGGCCACACUGGAACUGAGACACGGUCCAGACUCCUACGGGAGGCAGCAGUAGGGAAUCUUCCGCAAUGGGCGAAAGCCUGACGGAGCAACGCCUCGUGAGUGGUGAAGGUCUUCGGAUCGUAAAACUCUGUUAUUAGGGAAGAACAUAUGUGUAAGUAACUGUGCACAUCUUGACGGUACCUAAUCAGAAAGCCACGGCUAACUACGUG
This 497-nucleotide ribosomal RNA is filed under the name uncultured bacterium. Its description in RNAcentral is "partial 16S ribosomal RNA". It matches the Rfam family "Bacterial small subunit ribosomal RNA", at positions 28 to 507 of the family's 1533-position model. The record is from RNAcentral.